AGGUGUGGUUGAAGGUUCCUUCAGAGGAUGGAAGGAAUGGAGAAAGAAAAUUUUGAGGAUCCUAUAUUCAUGUGAAAGCCACCAAUGUCCUUGUUUAGAGCUAACAUUUUAAUAGAAAACCAAUCUGAAACCUCCACCUGCUAUUGCUCUCCUUCAGCUGAGGAACUGAUCAGCAAUCGGCAUUGCUCCAUAAUUGCUCAUCUGCGACUCGGCGCAGGCUGCAAUCUUCUGGUCCCCAGGCCUUGGGAUUUAGACCUCCCCAACUGGGCUAAAUUACAUCCAUUUUUAUAAGCUCAGCAAGAUAAGACUUCACAAAUAAUUGCAUAUUCAGACAUUUUUCAGCCUGGAUGUGUACACCAUACUACAAGGACUGCCAAAAUUGUAGGACCACAGAAGUUCCCAGAAAAACAACCUCCUGCUUCUCAGUCUUGCUGUCUUCUCUGCUGUGGGUCAAACUCAUUUUCAUCAGGGGCCACAUCAGCCUCACGGUUGCCUUCAAAGGGCCAAACAUAAUUUUAGGGCUGUAUAAAUGUAGGAGUAGUUACAUUUAUACAGCCCUAAAAUUACAUUUUAGGGCUGUAUAAAUGUAGGAGUAGUUACAUUUAUACAGUCCUAAAAUUACAUUUUAGGGCUGUAUAAAUGUAGGAGUAGUUACAUUUAUACAGCCCUAAAAUUAUGUUUGGCCCUUUGAAGGCAACCGCGAGGCUGAUUUGGCCCUGGGUGAAAAUGGGUUUGAUACCCCUGCCUUACACCCUCUGUGACCAAAAUAGGGAUAGCCUUCUCCUUCAGAUGCUGUCCGUGAAAGUAAUUGCUUCCAACAAAAAUCAUGCCUUGAUUAGUUCUUUAAAGCAUUGUGCAAUCACAUAAUAUUCAGCUGGCUAAAAAUAUGUGACUACAGAGGAAAAGAAUGCUCUCUUAAAUAAUACUUUUUAGCUUCAUAUCUGUGAGCUCUUCUCAGUGUAACAGGAAAUACUUUGGAGCUACUAUGUAUGGGUAUCACUGGAUAUUGUUGAAGUAACAGCUGGAAAUCCUCUUCAGGUAUCUGAAAAACAUAGGAAGUAUUUCUUGAGAAAAUUAAAUCAGACCUGUUUCUUUGGAAAAACAAACAAACAAACAAAAAAGGUAAGCAUUUAAGGAAUCAAAAUAAAAAAUGUGCAGGGGUCAACCAGGCAGGCCUGGUCUGCAUUAGGUUUGUUUUUAAGGAUUUCCCACUUCUUGCUAGAUCACUUUAGUCCCAUCAGUCAAAGCUCUGCCUUUAGCCUUUUCAAAAGUAUUGGGUGUUCUUUAGCUCUUGCAUGAAAGUUUCUACCUUCCUUUUCUUCAAAACGAUAAUUUCUGGAUCACAGAGAGGAAUCAUAACCUCUUAAAAUUUGCACAAGAAAUUAUCUGGGACAGCAGCGUGAACCUUUACCAUAUGUUUUGUCAACCACAUGGUGACUUUCUGGAAAUGAAAUUCUUUCAUCACAUAACCUCAAAGCAGGACUGUUGCCAUUACAGUGUAACCAAUAUUUUAUUGUAGUGUUAUGCAUCACACAGCUUUGGUGCUGUUCUAUAUUUAUUAUACUGCUUUUCCAUUUACUAUUUGGCAGAACUUUCUGAAUUAGCACUUUGAGUCUUUGUGUUGCACAUUCAGGAACCAGGAAAUAGCAUACAUAUAGACACGUCCCAUACACCCAGUAGCAGUAGUAUUAUUGUCAUGAUGCAUAUAUUUGAAGAUUUUCAAAACUAGUAUCAUUAUUACUUCAUAUCAUGUUUCAUCUAUCAUAAUGUUACCAUGCCAGGGGAUUUGUCAUACAUGUACUAUCAUAAAAAUAAAGAUUUGAGUAACUUACAUGUGGGGAUGCAUUGCUUUCAUGAGAACAGGGAAUCUCCUUCCUUACCCAAAGGAAUAUUAGAGCAAAGCUGCAAAAUUCAUUAUUGGGAGUCAUAAUAUCAAUGUUACUUAAGUACUACGGUGUAUACAAGAAGUCUGGUUGCCUUUUUGAAAGUGGAAUAAAAUAAUGGGUCAGAAGUUUUCUCGUUCGUUCAGUUGUCAAAUUUUACUCAUGGGAUAAUUAUAACUUAGGAAGACAUAAGUGAGGUAGAAACAUAAUAGGCAAAAAACAGUUCAAUGGGGAAAUCUUUGUAUUUUAAGGGAAUGUGAGUGUUGGCAAUGUUAUGACCUGGGUAGGGUUGUGCUCCUACAGUCAGAGCUGUAGGAAGCCUCUUCUGCCCAUCGUUUGUUGUCUUCAAGGGGAUGACUGGCAGUGUAAAAAACUCUCUUUUUUUCUUUGCCUGUUGCACAGCAGCAAAUCCAUGAUUGAAUGUUGUUGAAUCCAUGUAAAAGCAGUAAUGUAUAUGAUGAUUUUGCUGCACUUAUUUUACCUACUAAUAUGUCUAUAGGCUGAAGAAUGUAGGUAUCCUACAAUUUUGUGGGAAUGUAUAAUCAUGACCAAAAGCAGUGAGGUAAUAAAGUGCUAUCUCUGUUUUUCACAUGAAGGAUGAAAGAGGGAGGAAAAGCAGAACUGUUGCAUCCUGCGAUGAGAAAUGCUUGAGAGAGAAACAAAUUAAGCUUCUGAACUUAAGGUAGCCAUAGUGUACCAGGUAGCCAAAUUAGUGUGGCAUUGCAGUCAGGCAAAAAAGCCCUAAAGAAAUAACAUGGCAGAACUGUCCUCAGGAUUGAGACAGUGUCUCUGUACAGCCUUAUUUUCUGUUUAUGUUCUUAUGAAAAUAAAGUGUGCCUAGUUAAAUAAAAUGUGCAGUUGGAACACUGAGGAAUCAGGGCAAAGAAACCCAUGUGGGAGAUUUUGUGGUUAAAAAUAAGUUCUUCCACUAAAAUAAAGAAUGUGGUGCUAGAAAAAGUAAAAUCAAAGGACGUAGAUGCAUCACCACUUUUUUGUGUCUUACUCUUACUUCCUUUAUUGUUUUGUGUCUUCUUCCAAACAGUUGGUUUCUCAGAAUCUAGCGUAUUUUUCAUGUUUUCCUGUAUCUUUUUGGGAAAAUAAAAUAAAUAAAAUAAAAUAAUUGUUCAUCUGUGUUGGAUCAGAUACUUUAAUGUACCUUCUGCUGUUUCCCUCCUUUCCCCUACCCUGCACUGCCAUGCUGGGUCAUAGCACUGGCUGAAGAGAGGGAGAUACACUAGGGGAGGAAGAAACACAAGUAUUUAAACAAGUAGUAUUUCAGCUUUUUCAUCUCCCUCCUCAAUUUAAAUCACUGUAUGUCUUCUAAACCCAGAGAACACUUUACUUGCAUGAAGGUUAUGAUUUAUACUCCAUGCUCAUUUGGAAGUAUCAUUACCCUUUGCAAAAACAAACCAGAACACCACCCCAAAGCACAAUCCGCUGCUGGAGAAAAGGCAGAGCUUGCCAGAUACUCUGCUUCACCCUGGCCAGCUGUGCGGUCCUUCAGAUGUUCUCUUGGUGGCUCUAUGUGUGGGAAAAAAACAAACACAGGGAAACCCAUGCCUCAGUGUGAAGAGCACUGCAUAAAUGUAAACUCUGAAGCUGCCAUGCCCUCAGCAGCUGGAUAUCUGUUUUGUGGUCUUUCUGUUUAGCUCUGCAUUGUGUGAGCUAACUGACACAGGUUAGUGAUGCUGUAAAAAGAAAAGAGUGAAGUCCUCAAAUAUCGGGUUUAUUCUCACGCAGAAAAAUAAUUUGCAUAUCCCUAUGCCUUACUAACAGAUUGGAAACUUGUUAAUAGGUUGCAAACUGUGCCUCAUAAUAUGUGCAUUCCUUGACUGUUGACUAACAGAUGCAACCAGCCGUGCCUUGUGUGUACUAUAAUACAAUUCUUUGGGGAGUCAGUAAUAAUGGAGUGAUUUGGUGCCCUUCUGAUUCUGGGUUUAAUUCAACCAAGUGUCAGGCCUCUUUGACUUCUAGAUGACUUCAGAGUUCUCAUUGCAGAGCAUCAAGAUUAUGUUACUUUCCUCCUUCUCAUUUUUAUUACUCAAAUGCAAAAAUAAUAAAUAAAUAAGCACUGUAAUGACUCGA
Columba livia (rock pigeon) is the source of this 3968-nucleotide long non-coding RNA. RefSeq lists it as uncharacterized. The record is from RefSeq and is a predicted model, not a curated record. The transcript has 2 exons. NCBI's taxonomy places the organism in Eukaryota, Metazoa, Chordata, Aves, Columbiformes, Columbidae.